UGCAGUCGACGAAGUAGCAAUACUUUAGUGGCGAACGGGUGAGUAACACGUAUCUAACCUACCAUUUAGUGGGGAAUAACUGUUGGAAACGACAGCUAAUACCGCAUAUGUUAUUUAUUUGCAAUGAUAAAUAAUGAAAGGAGCAUUUGUUUCGCUAAUUGAUGAGGAUGCGGCGCAUUAACUAGUUGGUAAGGUAAUGGCUUACCAAGGUAACGAUGCGUAGCCGAUCUGAGAGGAUGAACGGCCACAUUGGGACUGAGACACGGCCCAAACUUCUACGGAAGGCAGCAGUAGGGAAUUUUUCACAAUGGGCGAAAGCCUGAUGGAGCAAUGCCGCGUGACUGAUGAAGAUCUUCGGAUUGUAAAGGUCUGUUGUAAGGGAAGAAGUGCUAGAAUAGGAAAWGAUUUUAGUAUCGACCAUACCUUACCAGAAAGCCACGGUUAACUAUGUGCCAGCAGCCGCGGUAAUAAUUGGUGGCAAGCGUUAUCUGGAUUU
RNAcentral lists this ribosomal RNA (496 nucleotides) under Spiroplasma symbiont of Acyrthosiphon pisum. RNAcentral describes it as "bacterial SSU rRNA". It matches the Rfam family "Bacterial small subunit ribosomal RNA", at positions 56 to 552 of the family's 1533-position model. Lineage: Bacteria; Bacillati; Mycoplasmatota; Mollicutes; Entomoplasmatales; Spiroplasmataceae. The record is from RNAcentral.